This is a long non-coding RNA of Rhagoletis zephyria (snowberry fruit fly), 444 nucleotides long. RefSeq lists it as uncharacterized. NCBI's taxonomy places the organism in Eukaryota, Metazoa, Arthropoda, Insecta, Diptera, Tephritidae. The record is from RefSeq and is a predicted model, not a curated record.
GUUGCGCCUGGCCAAGUGACAUACACACGCGAAAAAAAAAUUACCAGCUAGCUUACGCUGUACGGUGUUAAAUUUUUUUUUUAGUGAACUCAACAUUCUUAUUAAUAAUCAUAAUCCAAGGUGGAUAUAGAUAGAUAAAUAAGUAGAAAAGUGAAAAAUAGCAGCGAUAUCCAAAACGAACUUCUUCGGUUUUUUCGCGUGCGAAUAUAAACUGUAAAAGUGCAAAAAAACUUCAGUUAUGAAAUAUUCAGUCGAGCGUUUAUAGUAAAUAUCUUGGCUCCCAAACCACCAGCGUAUAUAGAGCAAAUAACAGCGCAGCUGUCAGACUUGAAAGUGGAAAGUGGCAGCCGCUGUUGGAGAGGAGGACUACGUACAACCUACAUACAUAAGUACAUACUAACCAACGUGUGUUGAAGGCGCGUGUGUGCGGAAGGCGUGUACAAA